This 1215-nucleotide ribosomal RNA is filed under the name uncultured bacterium. RNAcentral's name for it is "bacterial SSU rRNA". It matches the Rfam family "Bacterial small subunit ribosomal RNA", at positions 246 to 1482 of the family's 1533-position model. The record is from RNAcentral.
UAGUUGGUGAGGUAAUGGCUCACCAAGGCAAUGACGCCUAACUGGUUUGAGAGGAUGAUCAGUCACACUGGAACUGAGACACGGUCCAGACUCCUACGGGAGGCAGCAGUGGGGAAUAUUGCACAAUGGAGGAAACUCUGAUGCAGCAACGCCGCGUGGAGGAUGACACUUUUCGGAGCGUAAACUCCUUUUAUAUAGGAAGAUAAUGACGGUACUAUAUGAAUAAGCACCGGCUAACUCCGUGCCAGCAGCCGCGGUAAUACGGAGGGUGCAAGCGUUACUCGGAAUCACUGGGCGUAAAGAGCGUGUAGGCGGGUUAAUAAGUUGGAAGUGAAAUCCUAUAGCUCAACUAUAGAACUGCUUUCAAAACUGUUAACCUAGAAUAUGGGAGAGGUAGAUGGAAUUUCUGGUGUAGGGGUAAAAUCCGUAGAGAUCAGAAGGAAUACCGAUUGCGAAGGCGAUCUACUGGAACAUUAUUGACGCUGAGACGCGAAAGCGUGGGGAGCAAACAGGAUUAGAUACCCUGGUAGUCCACGCCCUAAACGAUGUACACUAGUUGUUGCGAUGCUAGACAUUGCAGUAAUGCAGUUAACACAUUAAGUGUACCGCCUGGGGAGUACGGUCGCAAGAUUAAAACUCAAAGGAAUAGACGGGGACCCGCACAAGCGGUGGAGCAUGUGGUUUAAUUCGACGAUACGCGAAGAACCUUACCUGGACUUGACAUUUACAGAAUUUUUCAGAGAUGAAUUAGUGUCUGCUUGCAGAAACUGUAGGACAGGUGCUGCACGGCUGUCGUCAGCUCGUGUCGUGAGAUGUUGGGUUAAGUCCCGCAACGAGCGCAACCCACGUCGUUAGUUGCUAACAGUUCGGCUGAGAACUCUGACGAGACUGCCUGGGCAACCAGGAGGAAGGUGUGGACGACGUCAAGUCAUCAUGGCCCUUACGUCCAGGGCUACACACGUGCUACAAUGGGGCAUACAAAGAGCAGCGAUACCGCGAGGUGGAGCAAAUCUCAAAAAUGCCUCCCAGUUCGGAUAGUAGUCUGCAACUCGACUACUUGAAGUUGGAAUCGCUAGUAAUCGUAGAUCAGCAAUGCUACGGUGAAUACGUUCCCGGGUCUUGUACUCACCGCCCGUCACACCAUGGGAGUUGAACUCAUUCGAAGCGGGGAUGCUAAGAUAGCUACCCUCCACAGUGGAUUCAGCGACUGGGGUG